This 2804-nucleotide long non-coding RNA is filed under the name Sus scrofa (pig). RNAcentral describes it as "lncRNA (ENSSSCG00060016701.1)". The record is from RNAcentral. Lineage: Eukaryota; Metazoa; Chordata; Mammalia; Artiodactyla; Suidae.
GUGGCAACCGGCAACAUCCCUGCCGGCGGCGGCUCUGCUGCCUGGGGCCGGGACUGAGCAGGACAGCGGUGUGGCACAGGACCUCUGCUUGACCCUGCUAGAGAGUGGGGUGCCUAAGAAAGAAACCUGCAAAUUUAAGCCCCUGAAUCUGUAGACCGACUCUUAAGCACAGCGGGAUCUAACCUGUGCUGGCUGAAAUGCCAGGCAACUCGAGUUCAUCUUCAUCAGCCCCGCCUCUUCGGAUGCUGGCUCCGCUGCUCGCAACUGGGGGGGAAGCGCUACAUGCAGGGAGUCUCUCUAGGAGCUGGGCGCCUUCCAGCUUCCAUCUCGUACAUUUUCACAACAAGCGGAAAGGCGAGUGUUAGUAACCGCACUUUCCCUGUAAGAACCGAGAAGGGAAGUGACUUGCCCCCGCAGAGCUGAGACAGGAAGGCAGGUUUUCCGAAUAUCACACGAAGCUGGGCAGGGCCUCCUGUUACUGCUUAGGAACCAAGGGGCCUGAGCCGUGGGAAGCUUUCUUUCAGCAUGGUCCCCCACUUAGAGGUGACUGUCACCCUCCCACUAAAUGGCGAGGAAAUAAAUCCUUGGCAUGCAGCCCCUGAAAGGUUGUCCCAGACGGGGAACACCCGAGGCGGAGUCCAGCCCUUUCCUGCACAGGGAGGUCUUUACAACACGGAUUUUCCAAGGCAAUCGGAUGCCUCUGCAGUCUAAUCUCAAAAGUAUUUUCUUACUGAAAAGAAAUCUGCACUUUUGUCUGGCUCACCCCCAGAACGCAAUCCCAGAGUUUGUAAGUCAAAGCUACAUAUUGACUUGAUUGCAGAUUGCUGUCUCUGAUGCAAAAAGGUUGAUCUUUGUAAAGCUGGUCUUCGAAGAACCAGACUAGCCUGGAUUCGGUGCGUCGCAUAUGUUUUCUGCCUCAGCAGCUGAACCAGAGUCACUGCAGUAAACUGAGUUCAUCGGUUUGGCCAGAUCCUGGACUUGCGGGCACAGGGGAAGAAGAGCGGCCACCUCCCACAGCGGGACCGAGGGACCCGCGUGCCCACCUCCCCCUUUGGGUACCUGACUGGGGCCACCGCUUUGGGGUAAAUCAGUACAGAGAUCAGUGUGGGCCGUAAGGUGGAGAGGGUCCCUUGUUUCAAGGAGCAGAGAACCACGGAAGCCAAAGAGAUGGUUUGCCACCUGUGAGACCCUUGGGCCAGAAAGCCGGUCGGGGCUUGAGGCAGCUGCAGGGAUGGGCAGUUCUCUUUGCUCCCUUGUGUCUGUACCAUCCCAUGCUGUGCUUUCUCUUGCCUUUCUCAAGAUGUGUCUGCUCUAUUUUCCUGUCUUUAUUAACAGGCCGGUUCCUCAAUCCAGAUGCCAGAAAGAGCUAGUCCAGAAGCCUUUGCUUACGGACCUGGUGACAUGGCCUUUUUGGGUAGCGCUCUUGGCCAAAGGCAUCGUCACGAGCCAUUAGCCAGCUCAUGGAUAGGCUGCCUCAGGCCAGGUGCCCGCCUCCGUCCCCUCAGUGGUCACUGAUGCACAGACACCGCCUAAUGUGACUCUCCUGAUCCAGGGGGCUGUGGCCAGGGCAGUUCAUACCAGAAGCAAGCGUUAGGGAACAAGCUGUGGGACUUGUGUGUACCUUGAGUCCAGGGCCGUCACCCAGAACUCAGCUUGGCCAGCGGCCCCCAGAUUUCCUCAUCUGUAAAUAGGGGGAUGGUGACACCUGGUUCAUGGGGUCGUCGUGAGACUUAAACCGACUGAUGGACAAUAUUAUACUAGCGAUAUUAUUAUCAGAAAGGGAUAACCCCAAGCCAUUUUGACCCAUCUGGCUUCUCAGACAGCCUGGCCAUUCAUCUAAAGAGAAAAACAGCGGCAGAAAGCAAGUAACCAGUGCGGACAGCUCGGGGAUGGGCAGCUCCUGCUUUCCUGAGGGAGGAGGGGUCAGGGCAGCCAGGAGUCCUGUGCCCGGGGUCCCACAGGACUGCGGGUGCGUGGACUGUGAGUGUGGGACAGUGUGUGUGUGUGUGUGUGUGUGUGUGUGUGGAAUGAGUGGCAGAUAAGAGACGACCCCUCCUCUUCCUCUGUUCAGAGCCUCUCCUGUCCACCUUUUCACCACGGCCCUCUCUACCUUUCGUUUUCAUUUUCUUGGAGCACAGCUGAUUUACAGCGUCGUGGUAGAUUCGCAUGCACAGCCACGGGAUUCAUGUGUAUAGGAAGAGGUAUGUUCUUUUUCAUAUUCUUUUCCCGCAGAGGUUGUUAUAAGCUAUUGAGUCGAGGUCCCCGGGCUACACAGCAUAUCCUCGUUGCUCAUCUAUUUCCUAUACUGUAGUGUGUGUGUGUGUGCAGCCCGACCUCUUAAUUUAACCUCUCGCCCCUUCCCCGCAGUGGGUAAGCGUUUUCUGUGUCUGUGGGUCUGUUUCUGUUCAUUUGUGUAUAUACGUGUUUUUAGAUUCCACAUAGGUGAUAGCACAUGGUCUUUGUCUUUCUCUCUACGUUUCUUUAAAGAGAAAGAGAAAAGUAGACAGGACAUUUAAAAAGCAAUGCAGAGUUGAGGGAGUUCCUAUCAUGGCUCAGUGGUUAACAAAUCCAACUAGGAACCAUGGGGUUGCGGGUUCCAUCCCUGGCCUGGAUCAGUGGGUUAAAGAUCUGGUGUUGCCGUGAGCUGUGGUGUAGGUCGCAGAUGCGGCUCGGAUCCCGCGUUGCUGUGGCUCUGGCGAAGGCCGGCGGCUACGGCUCCGAUUCGACCCCCAGCCUGGAAACCUCCACAUGCCAUGGGUGCGGCCCUAGAAGAGACAAAAAAAAAAAUAAAAAAAAAAAAAAAA